UUAGAGUUUGAUCCUGGCUCAGAUUGAACGCUGGCGGCAGGCUUAACACAUGCAAGUCGAGCGGUAACAGAGAGAAGCUUGCUUCUUUGCUGACGAGCGGCGGACGGGUGAGUAAUACAUAAGAAUCUGCCAAGCAGUGGGGGAUAACGUCCGGAAACGGGCGCUAAUACCGCAUACGUCCCACGGGGGAAAGCAGGGGCUCUUCGGACCUUGCGCUGCUUGAUGAGCUUAUGUCGGAUUAGCUAGUUGGUGGGGUAAUGGCCUGCCAAGGCGACGAUCCGUAGCUGGUCUGAGAGGAUGAUCAGCCACACUGGGACUGAGACACGGCCCAGACUCCUACGGGAGGCAGCAGUGGGGAAUAUUGGACAAUGGGGGGAACCCUGAUCCAGCCAUGCCGCGUGUGUGAAGAAGGCCUUCGGGUUGUAAAGCACUUUCAUUAGGGAGGAAGGUUGUUUGGUUAAUACCCAAGCAAAUUGACGUUACCUAAAGAAGAAGGACCGGCUAACUCCGUGCCAGCAGCCGCGGUAAUACGGAGGGUCCAAGCGUUAAUCGGAAUUACUGGGCGUAAAGCGCGCGUAGGCGGUUGCUUAAGUGGGAUGUGAAAUACCUGGGCUUAACCUGGGAAUUGCGUUCCAAACUGGGCAGCUAGAGUACAGUAGAGGGUGGCGGAAUUUCCAGUGUAGCGGUGAAAUGCGUAGAGAUUGGAAGGAACAUCAGUGGCGAAGGCGACCACCUGGACUGAUACUGACGCUGAAGGGCGAAAGCGUGGGGAGCAACCGGAUUAAAUACCUUGGGAGUCCACGCCGUAAACGAUGUCUACUAGUUGUUGGGGAAUCUUGUAUUCCUAAUAACGUAGUUAGCGCCGAAUAAUAAACCGCCUGGGGAGUACGGCCCCAGGGUAAAACUCCAAGAAUUUGACGGGGGCCCCACAAGCGG
RNAcentral lists this ribosomal RNA (936 nucleotides) under uncultured bacterium. Its description in RNAcentral is "bacterial SSU rRNA". It matches the Rfam family "Bacterial small subunit ribosomal RNA", at positions 1 to 932 of the family's 1533-position model. The record is from RNAcentral.